UACGUAGGGGGCAAGCGUUAUCCGGAAUUACUGGGUGUAAAGGGAGCGUAGACGGUAAUGUAAGUCUGGAGUGAAAGGCGGGGGCCCAACCCCCGGACUGCUCUGGAAACUAUGUUACUAGAGUGCAGGAGAGGUAAGCGGAAUUCCUAGUGUAGCGGUGAAAUGCGUAGAUAUUAGGGGGAACACCAGUGGCGGAGGCGGCCUGCUGGGCUUUUACUGACGCUGAGGCUCGAAAGUGUGGGGAGCAAACAGG
This 253-nucleotide ribosomal RNA is filed under the name uncultured bacterium. Its description in RNAcentral is "partial 16S ribosomal RNA". It matches the Rfam family "Bacterial small subunit ribosomal RNA", at positions 524 to 776 of the family's 1533-position model. The record is from RNAcentral.